GUGAGGAAUAUUGGACAAUGGGCGCAAGCCUGAUCCAGCAAUGCCGCGUGCAGGAAGAAGGCCUUCGGGUUGUAAACUGCUUUUGUACGGAACGAAACGGCUCUGGUUAAUACCCGGGGCUAAUGACGGUACCGUAAGAAUAAGCACCGGCUAACUACGUGCCAGCAGCCGCGGUAAUACGUAGGGUGCAAGCGUUAAUCGGAAUUACUGGGCGUAAAGCGUGCGCAGGCGGUUUUGUAAGACAGGCGUGAAAUCCCCGGGCUCAACCUGGGAAUGGCGCUUGUGACUGCAAAGCUGGAGUGCGGCAGAGGGGGAUGGAAUUCCGCGUGUAGCAGUGAAAUGCGUAGAUAUGCGGAGGAACACCGAUGGCGAAGGCAAUCCCCUGGGCCUGCACUGACGCUCAUGCACGAAAGCGUGGGGAGCAAACAGGAUUAGAAACCCUGGUAGUC
Molecule: ribosomal RNA, 449 nt
Filed under: uncultured bacterium
Lineage: Bacteria
Description: partial 16S ribosomal RNA
Rfam family: Bacterial small subunit ribosomal RNA
Source: RNAcentral